GAUGAACGCUGGCGGCGUGCCUAAUACAUGCAAGUCGAGCGAACGGACGAGAAGCUUGCUUCUCUGAUGUUAGCGGCGGACGGGUGAGUCACACGUGGAUAACCUACCUAUCAGACUGGGAUAACUUCGGGAAACCGGAGCUAAUACCGGAUAAUCUUUUGAACCGCAUGGUUCAAAAGUGAAAGACGGUCUUGCUGUCACUUAUAGAUGGAUCCGCGCUGCAUUAGCUAGUUGGUAAGGUAACGGCUUACCAAGGCAACGAUGCAUAGCCGACCUGAGAGGGUGAUCGGCCACACGGGAACUGAGACACGGUCCAGACUCCUACGGGAGGCAGCAGUAGGGAAUCUUCCGCAAUGGGCGAAAGCCUGACGGAGCAACGCCGCGUGAGUGAUGAAGGUCUUCGGAUCGUAAAACUCUGUUAUUAGGGAAGAACAUAUGUGUAAGUAACUGUGCACAUCUUGACGGUACCUAAUCAGAAAGCCACGGCUAACUACGUG
This 497-nucleotide ribosomal RNA is filed under the name uncultured bacterium. Its description in RNAcentral is "partial 16S ribosomal RNA". It matches the Rfam family "Bacterial small subunit ribosomal RNA", at positions 28 to 507 of the family's 1533-position model. The record is from RNAcentral.